ACACUCUGGAGAGUCUCACGAUGGAUUUCCAUUGGUGGGCGCCGAAGGGGCACGGACAAUUCGUCCCAAUCUCUCAGGCAAAAGGACAGAGCACA
RNAcentral lists this non-coding RNA (95 nucleotides) under human gut metagenome. Its description in RNAcentral is "Glycine riboswitch". It matches the Rfam family "Glycine riboswitch aptamer", at positions 9 to 86 of the family's 94-position model. From Rfam's summary of the family: This family represents the bacterial glycine riboswitch. Glycine riboswitches usually consist of two metabolite-binding aptamers domains with similar structures in tandem. The record is from RNAcentral.